This 65-nucleotide transfer RNA is filed under the name Dipodomys ordii (Ord's kangaroo rat). It matches the Rfam family "tRNA". Rfam says of the family: Transfer RNA (tRNA) molecules are approximately 80 nucleotides in length. Their secondary structure includes four short double-helical elements and three loops (D, anti-codon, and T loops). Lineage: Eukaryota; Metazoa; Chordata; Mammalia; Rodentia; Heteromyidae. The record is from Rfam by way of RNAcentral.
GCUGGCUCAGUAGUAGAGUGCUUGCCUUGUAUGUAUGAGGCCCUGGGUUCGAGUCCUCAGCAGCA